CUACGGGUGGCACCAGUAGGGAAUAUUGCACAAUGGACGAAAGUCUGAUGCAGCAACGCCGCGUGUGCGAUGAAGGCCUUCGGGUUGUAAAGCACUUUUCUGAGGGAAGAGGAAGGACGGUACCUCAGGAAUAAGUCUCGGCUAACUACGUGCCAGCAGCCGCGGUAACACGUAGGAGGCAAGCGUUAUCCGGAUUUACUGGGCGUAAAGUGCGUGCAGGCGGUUCGGUAAGUUGGAUGUGAAAGCUCCUGGCUCAACUGGGAGAUGCCGUUCAAUACUGCCGGACUCGAGGACGGUAGAGGGAGGUGGAAUUCCCGGUGUAGUGGUGAAAUGCGUAGAUAUCGGGAGGAACACCAGUGGCGAAAGCGGCCUCCUAGGCCGUUCCUGACGCUAAGACGCGAAAGCAUGGGUAGCGAACGGGAUUAGAUACCCUAGUAGUC
This 440-nucleotide ribosomal RNA is filed under the name uncultured bacterium. RNAcentral describes it as "partial 16S ribosomal RNA". It matches the Rfam family "Bacterial small subunit ribosomal RNA", at positions 339 to 795 of the family's 1533-position model. The record is from RNAcentral.